This 214-nucleotide non-coding RNA is filed under the name Mesorhizobium sp. The record is from RNAcentral. Lineage: Bacteria; Pseudomonadati; Pseudomonadota; Alphaproteobacteria; Hyphomicrobiales; Phyllobacteriaceae.
GGAGCAUUGGGAUGUCGAGGUUCUUCGUCCUCCUCGGGGGACGAAGCUAAGAGGGAAUCCGGUGAGCCCGAACGAAGAUCGGGCGAUGCCGGAGCUGCCCCCGCAACUGUAAGCGGCGAGCCGCUGUCCAACAUGUCACUGAGGCCGGCCUCGGGAAGACGGACAGGAGCGACGACCCGCGAGCCAGGAGACCUGCCCCGGCGAACUGAAACGU